AAUAGAUACCCGGGUAGUCCACGCCGUAAACGAUGAGUGCUAAGUGUUAGAGGGUUUCCGCCCUUUAGUGCUGCAGCUAACGCAUUAAGCACUCCGCCUGGGGAGUACGGCCGCAAGGCUGAAAACUCAAAGGAAUUGACGGGGGCCCGCACAAGCGGUGGAGCAUGUGGUUUAAUUCGAAGCAACGCGAAGAACCUUACCAGGUCUUGACAUCCUCUGCCAACCCUAGAGAUAGGGCGUUCCCCUUCGGGGGGACAGAGUGACAGGUGGUGCAUGGUUGUCGUCAGCUCGUGUCGUGAGAUGUUGGGUUAAGUCCCGCAACGAGCGCAACCCUUGAUCUUAGUUGCCAGCAUUCAGUUGGGCACUCUAAGGUGACUGCCGGUGACAAACCGGAGGAAGGUGGGGAUGACGUCAAAUCAUCAUGCCCCUUAUGACCUGGGCUACACACGUGCUACAAUGGAUGGUACAAAGAGCUGCGAACCCGCGAGGGUAAGCGAAUCUCAUAAAGCCAUUCUCAGUUCGGAUUGUAGGCUAA
RNAcentral lists this ribosomal RNA (535 nucleotides) under uncultured bacterium. RNAcentral describes it as "bacterial SSU rRNA". It matches the Rfam family "Bacterial small subunit ribosomal RNA", at positions 777 to 1308 of the family's 1533-position model. The record is from RNAcentral.